RNAcentral lists this ribosomal RNA (967 nucleotides) under Staphylococcus aureus. RNAcentral describes it as "bacterial SSU rRNA". It matches the Rfam family "Bacterial small subunit ribosomal RNA", at positions 75 to 1026 of the family's 1533-position model. The record is from RNAcentral. Lineage: Bacteria; Bacillati; Bacillota; Bacilli; Caryophanales; Staphylococcaceae.
GAAGCUUGCUUCUCUGAUGUUAGCGGCGGACGGGUGAGUAACACGUGGAUAACCUACCUAUAAGACUGGGAUAACUUCGGGAAACCGGAGCUAAUACCGGAUAAUAUUUUGAACCGCAUGGUUCAAAAGUGAAAGACGGUCUUGCUGUCACUUAUAGAUGGAUCCGCGCUGCAUUAGCUAGUUGGUAAGGUAACGGCUUACCAAGGCAACGAUGCAUAGCCGACCUGAGAGGGUGAUCGGCCACACUGGAACUGAGACACGGUCCAGACUCCUACGGGAGGCAGCAGUAGGGAAUCUUCCGCAAUGGGCGAAAGCCUGACGGAGCAACGCCGCGUGAGUGAUGAAGGUCUUCGGAUCGUAAAACUCUGUUAUUAGGGAAGAACAUAUGUGUAAGUAACUGUGCACAUCUUGACGGUACCUAAUCAGAAAGCCACGGCUAACUACGUGCCAGCAGCCGCGGUAAUACGUAGGUGGCAAGCGUUAUCCGGAAUUAUUGGGCGUAAAGCGCGCGUAGGCGGUUUUUUAAGUCUGAUGUGAAAGCCCACGGCUCAACCGUGGAGGGUCAUUGGAAACUGGAAAACUUGAGUGCAGAAGAGGAAAGUGGAAUUCCAUGUGUAGCGGUGAAAUGCGCAGAGAUAUGGAGGAACACCAGUGGCGAAGGCGACUUUCUGGUCUGUAACUGACGCUGAUGUGCGAAAGCGUGGGGAUCAAACAGGAUUAGAUACCCUGGUAGUCCACGCCGUAAACGAUGAGUGCUAAGUGUUAGGGGGUUUCCGCCCCUUAGUGCUGCAGCUAACGCAUUAAGCACUCCGCCUGGGGAGUACGACCGCAAGGUUGAAACUCAAAGGAAUUGACGGGGACCCGCACAAGCGGUGGAGCAUGUGGUUUAAUUCGAAGCAACGCGAAGAACCUUACCAAAUCUUGACAUCCUUUGACAACUCUAGAGAUAGAGCCUUCCCCUUCGGGG